Molecule: ribosomal RNA, 320 nt
Filed under: uncultured Prevotella sp.
Lineage: Bacteria; Pseudomonadati; Bacteroidota; Bacteroidia; Bacteroidales; Prevotellaceae
Description: bacterial SSU rRNA
Rfam family: Bacterial small subunit ribosomal RNA
Source: RNAcentral
GAUGAACGCUAGCUACAGGCUUAACACAUGCAAGUCGAGGGGCAGCAUUAUCGAAGCUUGCUUUGAUAGAUGGCGACCGGCGCACGGGUGAGUAACGCGUAUCCAACCUUCCCCCUACCAGAGGAUAGCCCGGCGAAAGUCGGAUUAAUACUCUAUGUUUUCCUUGUUGGGCAUCUUAUGAGGAACAAAGACUCGUCGGUAUGGGAUGGGGAUGCGUCUGAUUAGCUUGUUGGCGGGGUAACGGCCCACCAAGGCGACGAUCAGUAGGGGUUCUGAGAGGAAGGUCCCCCACACUGGUACUGAGACACGGACCAGACUCC